AUUGAACGCUGGCGGCAGGCCUAACACAUGCAAGUCGAACGAGUGGCGGACGGGUGAGUAAUGUCUGGGAAACUGCCUGAUGGAGGGGGAUAACUACUGGAAACGGUAGCUAAUACCGCAUACCAUCGGAUGUGCCCAGAUGGGAUUAGCUAGUAGGUGGGGUAACGGCUCACCUAGGCGACGAUCCCUAGCUGGUCUGAGAGGAUGACGAGCCACACUGGAACAGAGACACGGUCCAGGCUCCUAGGGGAGGCGGCAGUGAGGAAUAUUGCACAAUGGGCGCGAGCCGGAUGCAGCCAUGCCGCGUGUAUGAAGAAGGCCUUCGGGUUGUAAAGUACUUUCAGCGGGGAGGCGUUACCCGCAGAAGAAGCACCGGCUAACUCCGUGCCAGCAGCCGCGGUAAUAC
This 406-nucleotide ribosomal RNA is filed under the name uncultured bacterium. RNAcentral describes it as "partial 16S ribosomal RNA". It matches the Rfam family "Bacterial small subunit ribosomal RNA", at positions 30 to 526 of the family's 1533-position model. The record is from RNAcentral.